UGGGGAAUAUUGGACAAUGGGCGCAAGCCUGAUCCAGCCAUACCGCGUGGGUGAAGAAGGCCUUCGGGUUGUAAAGCCCUUUUGUUGGGAAAGAAAUCCAGCUGGUUAAUACCCGGUUGGGAUGACGGUACCCAAAGAAUAAGCACCGGCUAACUUCGUGCCAGCAGCCGCGGUAAUACGAAGGGUGCAAGCGUUACUCGGAAUUACUGGGCGUAAAGCGUGCGUAGGUGGUCGUUUAAGUCUGUUGUGAAAGCCCUGGGCUCAACCUGGGAACUGCAGUGGAAACUGGACGACUAGAGUGUGGUAGAGGGUAGCGGAAUUCCUGGUGUGCAGUGAAAUGCGUAGAGAUCAGGAGGAACAUCCAUGGCGAAGGCAGCUACCUGGACCAACACUGACACUGAGGCACGAAAGCGUGGGGAGCAAACAGGAUUAGAUACCCUGGUAGUCCACGCCCUAAACGAUGCGAACUGGAUGUUGGAUGCAAUUUGGCACGCAGUAUCGAAGCUAACGCGUUAAGUUCGCCGCCUGGGGAGUACGGUCGCAAGACUGAAACUCAAAGGAAUUGAC
This 567-nucleotide ribosomal RNA is filed under the name uncultured bacterium. RNAcentral's name for it is "partial 16S ribosomal RNA". It matches the Rfam family "Bacterial small subunit ribosomal RNA", at positions 355 to 914 of the family's 1533-position model. The record is from RNAcentral.